UCUGUAACUCAGUGGAUAGAGUGCCGGCCUCCGAAGCCGUUGGUCGCGGGUUCAACUCCCGCCAGAUG
Molecule: transfer RNA, 68 nt
Filed under: chicken gut metagenome
Rfam family: tRNA
About the family: Transfer RNA (tRNA) molecules are approximately 80 nucleotides in length. Their secondary structure includes four short double-helical elements and three loops (D, anti-codon, and T loops). Further hydrogen bonds mediate the characteristic L-shaped molecular structure. tRNAs have two regions of fundamental functional importance: the anti-codon, which is responsible for specific mRNA codon recognition, and the 3' end, to which the tRNAs corresponding amino acid is attached (by aminoacyl-tRNA synthetases). tRNAs cope with the degeneracy of the genetic code in two manners: having more than one tRNA (with a specific anti-codon) for a particular amino acid; and 'wobble' base-pairing, i.e. permitting non-standard base-pairing at the 3rd anti-codon position.
Source: RNAcentral